UACGGAGGAUCCAAGCGUUAUCCGGAUUUAUUGGGUUUAAAGGGUGCGUAGGCGGCCGGGUAAGUCUGAUGUGAAAUCUCACAGCUUAACUGUGAAACUGCAUUGGAUACUAUCCGGCUCGAGGAAUGGAGGGGAGACUGGAAUACUUGGUGUAGCAGUGAAAUGCGUAGAUAUCAAGUGGAACACCAGUGGCGAAGGCGAGUCUCUGGACAUUUCCUGACGCUGAGGCACGAAAGCCAGGGGAGCAAACGGG
RNAcentral lists this ribosomal RNA (253 nucleotides) under uncultured bacterium. RNAcentral describes it as "partial 16S ribosomal RNA". It matches the Rfam family "Bacterial small subunit ribosomal RNA", at positions 524 to 776 of the family's 1533-position model. The record is from RNAcentral.